This 264-nucleotide ribosomal RNA is filed under the name Triticum aestivum (bread wheat). RNAcentral's name for it is "partial small subunit ribosomal RNA". The record is from RNAcentral. Lineage: Eukaryota; Viridiplantae; Streptophyta; Magnoliopsida; Poales; Poaceae.
AUGGAUCAGACAUGCAGGAGGUGGAGCUCCACAUGGAUCAUGACGUGGUCGUCGUGGGGGCCUGGAUCAUCAAGUCUGCAGGUGGUGUCGGGGGCGGUGCAAUGCCAGCUGCUGGACAUAGUUCACCCUGGGUUGGUGCUUAUGCACAAGGUGAAUUUCGAUGCCAAGAUGGAGUACGACAUGAUCCAGAACUAUAGGAUUCUCCUGGAUGUGUUCAACAAGUUGCAGAUAGGCAAGGUACGGGUGGUGAUUCUCCUAGCUUAG